GAUGCACGUUGGCGGCAGGCCUAACACAUGCAAGUCGAGGGAGAAGCAGUUUUCGGACUGUGGAGACCGGCGGACGGGUGAGUAAUACAUGGAGAUCUGCCUUACACUGGGGGAUAACUACUGGAAACAGUAGCUAAUACCGCAUACGCCAUAUUGGGAAAGCUCCGGCGGUGUAAGAUGAGUCCAUGCCUGAUUAGCUAGUUGGUAGGGUAAGAGCCUACCAAGGCGACGAUCAGUAGCUGGUUUGAGAGGAUGAUCAGCCACACUGGGACUGAGACACGGCCCAGACUCCUACGGGAGGCAGCAGUGAGGAAUAUUGGACAAUGGGCGCAAGCCUGAUCCAGCCAUGCCGCGUGAGUGAUGACGGCCUUCGGGUUGUAAAGCUCUUUCAGCAGGGAGGAAAAUGACGUUACCUGCAGAAGAAGUCCCGGCUAACUCCGUG
This 442-nucleotide ribosomal RNA is filed under the name uncultured bacterium. Its description in RNAcentral is "bacterial SSU rRNA". It matches the Rfam family "Bacterial small subunit ribosomal RNA", at positions 28 to 507 of the family's 1533-position model. The record is from RNAcentral.